GUAGGGAAUAUUGGGCAAUGGAUGCAAGUCUGACCCAGCCAUCCCGCGUGCCGGAAGAUGGCCCUCAGGGUUGUAAACGGCUUUUGACGGUGAAGAAUCGACAGGAUGCGUCCUGUUUUGACGGUAGCCGUUGAAUAAGCACCGGCUAACUCCGUGCCAGCAGCCGCGGUAAUACGGAGGGUGCGAGCGUUGUCCGGAUUUAUUGGGUUUAAAGGGUGCGUAGGCUGGAAGGUCAGUCAGCGGUGAAAAGCUAUCGCUUAACGAUAGUCUUGCCGCAGAUACUUCCUUUCUUGGAUGAGGAGGAGGCCACUGGAACGGAUGGUGUAGCGGUGAAAUGCAUAGAUAUCAUCCAGAACACCGAUUGCGAAGGCAGGUGGCUGUACCUUAAUCGACGCUGAUGCACGAAAGCAUGGGGAGCAAACAGGAUUAGAAACCCCAGUAGUCC
Molecule: ribosomal RNA, 445 nt
Filed under: uncultured bacterium
Lineage: Bacteria
Description: partial 16S ribosomal RNA
Rfam family: Bacterial small subunit ribosomal RNA
Source: RNAcentral